GUGAAUCAUCGAAUCUUUGAACGCACAUUGCGCCCCCUGGCAUUCCGGGGGGCAUGCCUGUCCGAGCGUCAUUUCUGCCCUCAAGCACGGCUUGUGUGUUGGGUGUGGUCCCCCCGGGGACCUGCCCGAAAGGCAGCGGCGACGUCCGUCUGGUCCUCGAGCGUAUGGGGCUCUGUCACUCGCUCGGGAAGGACCUGCGGGAGUUGGUCACCACCACAUUUUACCACGGUUGACCUCGGAUCAGGUAGGAGUUACCCGCUGAACUUAAGCAUAUCAAUAAGCGGAGGA
RNAcentral lists this unclassified non-coding RNA (288 nucleotides) under Talaromyces sp. Its description in RNAcentral is "partial contains 5.8S ribosomal RNA, internal transcribed spacer 2, and large subunit ribosomal RNA". The stretch from base 1 to 71 matches the Rfam family "5.8S ribosomal RNA", at positions 84 to 154 of the family's 154-position model. Lineage: Eukaryota; Fungi; Ascomycota; Eurotiomycetes; Eurotiales; Trichocomaceae. The record is from RNAcentral.